RNAcentral lists this ribosomal RNA (233 nucleotides) under uncultured bacterium. RNAcentral describes it as "partial 16S ribosomal RNA". It matches the Rfam family "Bacterial small subunit ribosomal RNA", at positions 103 to 334 of the family's 1533-position model. The record is from RNAcentral.
CGGGUGAGUAACGCGUGAGGAACCUGCCUCAAAGAGGAGGACAACAGUUGGAAACGACUGCUAAUACCGCAUAAGCCCACGGCUCGGCAUCGAGCAGAGGGAAAAGGAGCAAUCCGCUUUGAGAUGGCCUCGCGUCCGAUUAGCUAGUUGGUGAGGUAACGGCCCACCAAGGCGACGAUCGGUAGCCGGACUGGGAGGUUGAACGGCCACAUUGGGACUGAGACACGGCCCAG